Non-coding RNA from Paramuricea clavata, 384 nucleotides. Lineage: Eukaryota; Metazoa; Cnidaria; Anthozoa; Malacalcyonacea; Plexauridae. The record is from the annotation of a GenBank genome assembly.
GCCCGGCCACGGUGGGAUUCGAACCUACGACCUUUGGAAUACUAGCCCAAUGCUCUUCCAACUGAGCUACGCGGUCAGGACGGUUCGAGUAAGUGAUAUUUCGGAACAGAAUCUAGUUCCUUCGAUACCAAUGUUUUCUAGUAAUAUGAAUUUUUUCUAUGUUGGUGUAGUGUACUCAUGUGAAUAUGAUAUUUGUGGUGUUACUCUGAGUGUACAUCCACACCGGGCGAGCUUGAAAAAUAUGCCCGGCCACGGUGGGAUUCGAACCUACGACCUUUGGAAUACUAGCCCAAUGCUCUUCCAACUGAGCUACGCGGUCAGGACGGUUCGAGUAAGUGAUAUUUCGGAACAGAAUCUAGUUCCUUCGAUACCAAUGUUUUCUAG